AACUACAGGAAGCGAGGGAGCACGAAGAGCAGGGAGGACCACAAUAAACUGUUGGUCCCGAUGAGGCGUUAUGUCACAGCCGCCCCUGCCAAUCAGGUGCUGUUGUCGAGGGAGAACGGAGCAGCAAAGCAGAGGAAAGGAAGUAGGAAGGGUGUAGAGGAGGAAGGGUUUGGUGUGUCCUGUGGUCUGCCUGGUGUAGAUUAUGGGUGUGUUCCUCUGCCCAGACGUUGCUGACGCAUUACAGAUCUAACUACACCUGGCAAGGUACUGUAUUUUACAUAUCAGAUAACCACAACAUAUGUUAUAGCAAUCUGUCUAACGAUGACGUGGCAUCCGACCAUUGGUUGAUGCAUGUAAAGUCUGAGCAGGGGAAUGUGACCAAAACACGGUUGUUAAAGGCUCUCCUCCUUCUGAACAGCGAUGAGAUCCAGAUCACCAUACCUCCGUGUUUAGUUCAUUUUCUUGGCCUGAACAACAACCACCACGAGUUGUGAUAAAGGGGGAACUAGUUGGAGUGUGUCGGUGCUGGAAUGCACUGAUCCUGGGGAUGAGAGAGGGCUGGGCUGCUGCUUUGCCAUCUGCCCCUUUGUGUGAGAGGCUGGAGGGUGCAGGGAGGGGGUGGGCACAACAAGUGGCAACCCAUAACAAAUGAGAAAGGUGGAGACAGCUAGUGGUGGAAUGCAAAGAUUCAAUGGUGACCACAUGUUUUGUCUCCCGUUUGUUUUAUUCCCAGGUUAUUUUUCCACCCUUUUUUCUUUUAGCCAUGAUUUGAAUUGUUUCAUUAAAACAUGCAUGAAUGAGUGAAUUAUCA
This is a long non-coding RNA of Oncorhynchus keta (chum salmon), 811 nucleotides long. RefSeq lists it as uncharacterized. Lineage: Eukaryota; Metazoa; Chordata; Actinopteri; Salmoniformes; Salmonidae. The record is from RefSeq and is a predicted model, not a curated record. The transcript is spliced from 2 exons.